This 164-nucleotide ribosomal RNA is filed under the name Camellia petelotii. RNAcentral's name for it is "5.8S ribosomal RNA". It matches the Rfam family "5.8S ribosomal RNA". Rfam says of the family: 5.8S ribosomal RNA (5.8S rRNA) is a component of the large subunit of the eukaryotic ribosome. The record is from RNAcentral. Lineage: Eukaryota; Viridiplantae; Streptophyta; Magnoliopsida; Ericales; Theaceae.
UAAACGACUCUCGGCAACGGAUAUCUCGGCUCUCGCAUCGAUGAAGAACGUAGCGAAAUGCGAUACUUGGUGCGAAUUGCAGAAUCCCGCGAACCAUCGAGUCUUUGAACGCAAGUUGCGCCCGAAGCCAUUAGGUUGAGGGCACGUCUGCCUGGGCGUCUCAC